RNAcentral lists this ribosomal RNA (780 nucleotides) under Guarea silvatica. RNAcentral describes it as "eukaryotic LSU rRNA". The stretch from base 342 to 498 matches the Rfam family "5.8S ribosomal RNA". Lineage: Eukaryota; Viridiplantae; Streptophyta; Magnoliopsida; Sapindales; Meliaceae. The record is from RNAcentral.
CUGAACCUUAUCAUUUAGAGGCAGGAGAAGUCGUAACAAGGUUUCCGUAGGUGAACCUACGGAAGGAUCAUUGUCGAAACCUGCCCAACAGAACGACCCGCGAAACUGUGAUUAUGCUUGAGGGGGACCGAUGCAGGUCGCUCGAGCUCGUGGAGCCAGACCAACGCGAGCCUUACCCCCUAGCCAUGGUGGACGAGCCAAACCUCGCUCCUGGUGGCAAAACAAUGAACCCCGACACGAAAUGCGCCAAGGAUAAUCCAACGAGGGGAGUGCGCUGCCGCCGGCCAGAAAGCGGUGCCGUGCGGGAUGCGCUACCUCCUUUCAACGAAAACAAAAAAAAUGACUUUCGACAACGGAUAUCUCGACUCUCGCAUCGAUAAAAAAACGUAGUGAAAUGCGAUACUUGGUGUGAAUUGCAGAAUCCCGUGAACCAUCGAGUCUUUGAACGCAAGUUGCACCCUAAGCCUUUAGGCCGAGGGCACGUCUGCCUGGGUGUCACGCAUCAUUGUUCCCCAAAACCCCUUAUGUAGGGAUUGCUGAGAGGGCGUAAAUUGGCCUCCCGUUAGUUUCGAGCUCAGGGUUGGCCCAAAUUUGAGUCUUCGGCGACCGUGCCGCUAUGAUCGGUGGUAAAAAUGGCCUCUCGAGCUCUCGUCGCAUGCUCGCUUCUCCGCGUUGCUGGCUCGCGGACCUUUUGGGCGCCUUGUGUUGUAGGCGCUGCUCGCUCUGCGACCCCAGGUCAGGCGGGACUACCCACUGAGUUUAAGCAUAUCAAUAAGCGGA